Molecule: ribosomal RNA, 253 nt
Filed under: uncultured bacterium
Lineage: Bacteria
Description: partial 16S ribosomal RNA
Rfam family: Bacterial small subunit ribosomal RNA
Source: RNAcentral
UACAGAGGGCCCAAGCGUUGUUCGGAUUCACUGGGCGUAAAGGGUGCGUAGGUGGUGAGGUAAGUCGGAUGUGAAAGCUCGGAGCUCAACUCCGAAAUGGCAUUGGAAACUACCUUGCUCGAGGGGUGGAGGGGGGACUGGAAUGCUUGGUGUAGCGGUGAAAUGCGUAGAUAUCAAGCGGAACACCAGUGGCGAAGGCGAGUCCCUGGACAACUCCUGACACUGAGGCACGAAAGCUAGGGGAGCAAACAGG